RNAcentral lists this ribosomal RNA (467 nucleotides) under uncultured bacterium. RNAcentral describes it as "partial 16S ribosomal RNA". It matches the Rfam family "Bacterial small subunit ribosomal RNA", at positions 28 to 507 of the family's 1533-position model. The record is from RNAcentral.
GACGAACGCUGGCGGCGUGCUUAACACAUGCAAGUCGAACGGAAAGGCCUCUUUCGGGGGGUACUCGAGUGGCGAACGGGUGAGUAACACGUGAGUAACCUGCCCUUGACUUUGGGAUAACUUCAGGAAACUGGGGCUAAUACCGGAUAGGAGCUCCUGCUGCAUGGUGGGGGUUGGAAAGUUUCGGCGGUUGGGGAUGGACUCGCGGCUUAUCAGCUUGUUGGUGGGGUAGUGGCUUACCAAGGCUUUGACGGGUAGCCGGCCUGAGAGGGUGACCGGCCACAUUGGGACUGAGAUACGGCCCAGACUCCUACGGGGGGCAGCAGUGGGGAAUAUUGCACAAUGGGUGGAAGCCUGAUGCAGCAACGCCGUGUGCGGGAUGACGGCCUUCGGGUUGGAAACCGCUUUCGCUCAUGACGAAGCUUUGUGUGACGGUAGUGGGUAAAGAAGCACCGGCUAACUACGUG